Long non-coding RNA from Cyclopterus lumpus (lumpfish), 591 nucleotides. RefSeq lists it as uncharacterized. Lineage: Eukaryota; Metazoa; Chordata; Actinopteri; Perciformes; Cyclopteridae. The transcript is spliced from 2 exons. The record is from RefSeq and is a predicted model, not a curated record.
CCCCCCGCAUUCGGCUUAUGGCCCCGCCCCCUUCUCCCCUCAAGGCGCUGGUUAGCUAACAGUAGCAUGAAGCUAGCGCACCUGGAGCGGCGUCUCGAGACCAAACAUGCUAAUCACGCCGGCGCACAGCAACUGUCCGUCAAACUUCGACGCCGUGGCGACCAGGGCGUGAUCCGCCUCAAUGGCGGUGACAGACAGUCCGAGGCCGAAGGACAGGAAACGAGUCAGGUGACCCUGUUGAGAGCGGAUGAAUGUUUUGAUGAUAAACUAACAAGCACCCACUAGAGCGCCAGAUGUGGAUUCAUCCGCCGCUGAAAAUAGUCCCCAACAAAUGCACGAUUCCCUGCUGUUUGUUUGAUAGAAACAGCUGUUUUGAGGAGGUUUACACAUUUGUGUGUUUUUUUAAUAUUAUCAUUACGUGUCAUGACAUUUGCUGACAGAAUAAUAUAGUAUUGUUUUAGUUGUUUAACCAUAACCACACUGAGCUCUCUGCAGCUCAAACAGAGGUGAUGCUACCUGUCCGGAGCCAACGUCCACCACGGUGCUGCAGUCGGUCUGGUCACACAGCUGUUUCACCAGCUGGAUUUUAAA